Molecule: RNA transcript, 4343 nt
Organism: Rosa rugosa (rugosa rose)
Lineage: Eukaryota; Viridiplantae; Streptophyta; Magnoliopsida; Rosales; Rosaceae
Exons: 4
Source: RefSeq, a predicted model, not a curated record
UUUUGCUUCACUCCCGCUACUUCUUCUUCAACCCCCAAGUCACUAUAGCUUAGUGAGAUUUGUGUUUCAGAUUGCGAUGGCGGCCGAUUCAAAUUCCGGCGAUCCAAUCUCCGACUACGGCCGCACCCAGCGGAUCGUGCUCCUAAUCGACCUAAACCCACUCCUCCAUCUCCAAGACCCAACCCCAUUUCUCACCUCUCUCCUCUCCUCCAUCAAAACCCUAACCUCCUUCCCUCCUCUCUCUUUCUCUCUCUUCGCCUUCAGGCCCUUCUUCUCGUCUCUCUCUCCUCUCCUCUCCUCCUCCAAGCUCCCCGCUUCCUCUCUCUCCCUCUCCUUCAACCCCCCGGACUCUACUUUCCUCUCGCUCUCUCAAACCCUAGCCUCUCUCUCCUUUGACCGGAACCCUAGCUUGACCGGAUCCGACUCGCCGCGGGCUUCGUUCGUCGCGGCGGCGAUGCGGCAACUCGUCCACGACUACGCUUGGGACGCGCCGAUCUGCGAUCCGGCGACCGGUACGUUUUCGAAUUGUGGUGCUUUGAGGUCUAAUUUGGUUGUCCUGUUUUCGCCGGUGUGUGGGUCUUUGAAAUUUGUGAGUGAGUUCUUGAAUGUGGGAGUGGGUGAUGAGUGUUUGGGAGAUUUGAAUGCGUUUUGUGAGAGAUUUCGAGCGGUUUUCGAGAAUGUGGAUGAGGCAUUUGGUAGUAGAGAUAUUCAAUUGAGUUGGGUUGAUGUGAGGUAUGAAUUGGAGUGUGGUGAGAAUAAGGUUGGAUUGAAAUGUGGUUUUUUCGAGAGGGGGAUUGAGAGUUUAGGAUGGGGGUUUUGCUCCUCUGAUUCGAUUGUGCUUGGUUCGGCUCUUGUUCCGUUUGGUUUGAUUUAUCCAGAGAUUGGGGUUUCGUCGAAGAUUUUUGGGGAUCAUAGUAAGAAGGUUAGAGGGCAAUUGAGUCUUGAAAUAUCAGAUGUUAUGGGGAUGCCUUUGGAGGGCAAGUUUUGUGAUCUUGAGUUGGCUGAGUUGAAAAUGUUGCCUAGAAGUAGAGCUGAUGAUGGUUUGUUUUCCGUGGAAAGCAUGAAGUCGCAAGCAAGAGGUCAUGAGGUGAAGAGGCUGUUCUGGGGAAGUGUUGGCAAUGGAGUGUCGAAGAUUCAGGUUAAGGCUUUGCAAAAGGACAGUGAGUUUGUGAAAUUCAAGGGGCGGUUAUCGGAUCCGAUUCUUGUCUAUGAAGUUUCAGGAAGAGAUGGGAAAGAAGUUUGUGGUGGUGUUUUUGUAGAUAAGGUUCUUGAAAUGCUAUCAGUGGAAUUGGGUGAGUUUUUACCGAGGAAAUUGGCGCCUGUUUGGCAGAUUGUCUUGAGUUUUUUAUACAGGGACGGUUGCUGGGCAUUGGUGUCUAUUUCAAAUGAUAGUGGUGUAUCGCAUACUGGAAUCCUUAAGCCUUUUACAAUUUCUUCAGCUCUUUUGUUUAUUUUGGAUGAAGGAUUUCACCCUCACAAAAAAGGGCAUGGCAUUGGUGCAGUGAAUGUGGGUCAAUCUCGUCCAAAGAUGAACCAUAAGAUAUGCAAACCUGAUGUUGAUUUGAACAACUUGUGCGGGUCUCAAACUGAGCCUACACCAUCUGAUAAGCAUUCUGCAGAGAUUGAUGGAAAGAAGAAAAGUAGCAAAAGAAAUUCACAUUCACUCCAAGACCUCACCUGGAGUGCUUUCUGUAAGGCAGCAUUUGAAUAUUCAGACUUACAUUUGGAAGAGGUUUACUUUGCCAGGCAACGCAGCAGCUCAAAAAAGUUGAAAUUUCUGAAAUGCUGGAUGAAACAGAUAAAAAAAGUGAAGUAUCCAAUAACGGAGGAGUCCAAGGCACACCAGGAAAACCAAAAGGAGAUGGGCAAUAGGUUGGAUGUGUUGCAGCAAGAGAGUGAACAACCGAUGUCAUCAUCUGGUUCAGCUGGAGAAAAUUCUUUGACUGUGGCUUUGGGAGUACAGGAUGAAGCUGCUCAGGAAUAUAGAUUAGAAACCUCGGAAGCUUUUUUCAGUAAUUUCUCCAAUAAGAUUCGACAAGGGCUUGAAUCUGAAGCAGUAGACUUGGGGGCUUUCGCACAUCGGCUUGUGAGUCAAUCUAUAUCUUUGUUGAAUCAAAAGCAUAGCACAACAACCCCUUCAGAGAAUCAAACUCUUGUAAAAUCUGACAAUAUUGAUGAUUUGGUUGCUGCUGAGCUGUUAGAACUUUUACUCAGAGAUCCCAAGGAUAUGGUUGCAACGCACAAAAGCUAUGACCCAUCUUUUCAAGCAUCUGAUCCAGGAUCUGAAGGAUUUACUUCAGAAAUAAUAGUUCGAGAAUAUGAAUUACAGAUAUUUUUCCGCAUGGAGAUUUUACAAUCAGAAGUUGGAGCAAGUAUCAAAGAUUCUGUGAAACAGAAGUUUGUGAAACAUAUUUGCAUGCUUUUGGAGACCAUUCGUGUUCGAUGUCAUCUGGAGGGAGGCUUCUUUGGUGACUGGACCCUAGAAAAUUAUGCUGGAAAGAUUAUAAAAAGCAGGUACUGUCAGACUCUUGAAGAUGUGGUUCAUAAAAUUUACACAAAAAUGGAUCUGUUGCUGUUUGAUGAUGAGGAAGAACUCUCUAAUAAUCUAUUCAACAGCGAGGAUAGCAAUCAAUCCUACAGAGAAAAACCAGGGAAAGAUGAGGUGGGUGAAAAUAGUAGAAUCAAGGAAUUAGUAUCAGCAGAAGAUGAAUCCCCUGAUCUGGGAAAACAUUACAAUGGAAGACCAAGUGCUCAAGUGGUUAAACAAGAGGAGCAUGCUCGCAAGUUGAUUGAAGCUCAAGAGAGUAGAGAGAGGGCUAGGAGAUUUGCUUCUUUUACAAGUAGGGUAGCUGAUUUGCAGCGAGUUUGGGCCCCAAAACAGCCUAAGGCGUUCAAGCCAAAAUCAAAUUCUCUUCCAAAGCCGGCUAAGAGGAAGGACCAUACAGAUUCCUAUUAUGAGAGAGUAUUAGAAACCCCAAUGACAGAAAAUAAACGAAUCCACAUCGAUGAUGAAGAUUACCAAGACUAUGGAAGCCGUUCUGUUUCUAAAUCAUUGUUUCAGGAUGACUAGUAAAUGGAGCUGUAGCCUCUCCUUAGAUGCAAUGGCAUGGAGCUUUUCUCAGAUUACCAAACGAGAUGGAUUGACCCUCCUAUAAUAUCAGAUGAUUAUGGCUAUUGAAAGCUACUGCGUUUGAAGAAGGUGAUCUAGAGAGCCACAAAUGCUCUCAUUUGUUGAAGAAGUUUUGUCACAUAGUGGACCAGCAAGAUCAACGCCAUGUGAAAGGUCAGAUCUUCAAGCCGGGGGGAACUCCAACCCUUGCAAAAAAGAAGCAAACAGCUGCAUGAAUCAUGAGCCUUGAACAAAAAUGGCCACUUCUCUUCAUGUAUCACUCUUUGCCCCAAUCUCAUCGCUGGUUCUAAUCAAACCCUCUCACGCCGGCAGUGUAGCCGUGUUCUCUGGGAAAACCAGUUAUGGAGGAAUUCUUAAGUCAAACUUGCGCCACCAGAAAAUACUCUCAUGUGAACAGCUUUCCUCAACGUAUUCAGCUGCAGUCAAGUCCCACAACUGAACCUGGCAUCUGCAACCCAGCCUCCAAUGCCCCGAAAUCACAUUCUGCCAAAGCCUAGGACUUCAGGUGUUCCUCUCCAUUGGUGGUGGAUAUGGAAGGUACUCUGGCUUCUGCUGCUGAUGCAAGAUAUGUAACCAACUACCUUUGGAACAGUUUACUAGGCAGCACAGGAAAUGGCAGAGACAACUUUGCUUCACGUCCCUUUCGGGACGGCCUCUUGGACGGCAUAUGGCAUAUAGAGCAUGGCGCAACUCAAUGCUGGGAUGACUAUCUCAAGGCGUAUAGCAGCCCAAGAAGACCUGUUUAGGAAAGCACGUAGGAAAGCAACCGAAUGGAUAUGCUAUAAUCAUACGAAGUCAUCAUGGUGGAAUGGAAGAUGACAAGAGUUAUGUGCAUCUCUUUUCUAUAGAAACAUUUUAUUAUAGAUCAGAUACACUAAGUAACAAUCUUGAUAUGGUGUAUUCAACAAACCGUCACUUGUGCCAGAGUGUUGAGAAUUUAAGGUUGAUUUAGAGUCAAGCUGACGUUGUUUAUCAUUUUGAUUACAUUGUCCUACUUACGGAAGCAAAUUUCAUUUCAGUAUGUCAGGGUUUUCUUCCUUCCUUUGUAAAGAGAUUACCAAAACGAGAGGGAAUGACCCAUUUAUAAUAUCAGAUGGUUAUGGCUAUUAAUAGUUUAAUACCAGUGCUUUGGAAGAAAAUUAUCCACUAUAAUAUCAGAUGGUUAUGGCUCUCAUGUAUCGAUGAUGAUAGCAUCAUGUAUAUGGACAAAGUG